GGGAUUAGCUUUCGGUCCGUGGCUUACGUCAUGUGUACUGUAUUAUGUCUAGUUCCAUCCUUGUAGUGAAUAUAUCUGGCAUUUAGUUGUCGGGUGUAGGAGCUGCAUCGUUUACUGUGAAAAAAUUAGAGUGUUUAAAGCAGGCUUAUGCCGUGAAUACAUUAGCAUGGAAUGAUAUUAUAGGACCUUGUCACUAUUUUAUUGGUUUGUAUGACUAGGUA
This 221-nucleotide ribosomal RNA is filed under the name uncultured fungus. RNAcentral describes it as "partial small subunit ribosomal RNA". It matches the Rfam family "Eukaryotic small subunit ribosomal RNA", at positions 663 to 863 of the family's 1831-position model. Lineage: Eukaryota; Fungi. The record is from RNAcentral.